Blyttiomyces helicus is the source of this 80-nucleotide non-coding RNA. Lineage: Eukaryota; Fungi; Chytridiomycota; Chytridiomycetes. The record is from the annotation of a GenBank genome assembly.
GCAUGGUUGGUUUAGUGGCAUAAUUACCGCCUGCCAAUCUCAGUGCGCGGUAGACCCGGGUUCGAUUCCCGGACCAUGCA